GGGGCAUUAGCUCAGCUGGUAGAGCGCUUGCAUGGCAUGCAAGAGGUCAGCGGUUCGACUCCGCUAUGCUCCA
This 73-nucleotide transfer RNA is filed under the name Asticcacaulis sp. YBE204. It matches the Rfam family "tRNA". From Rfam's summary of the family: Transfer RNA (tRNA) molecules are approximately 80 nucleotides in length. Their secondary structure includes four short double-helical elements and three loops (D, anti-codon, and T loops). The record is from Rfam by way of RNAcentral. Lineage: Bacteria; Pseudomonadati; Pseudomonadota; Alphaproteobacteria; Caulobacterales; Caulobacteraceae.